Long non-coding RNA from Entelurus aequoreus (snake pipefish), 384 nucleotides. RefSeq lists it as uncharacterized. The record is from RefSeq and is a predicted model, not a curated record. Lineage: Eukaryota; Metazoa; Chordata; Actinopteri; Syngnathiformes; Syngnathidae. The transcript is spliced from 3 exons.
AAGAGUGAGAAGGUCAACCGGAGAUUGAUAUUGUGAAUAUUAUAAAACAUUGUUUUUGUGCAGUAAUACGUUUUACAGUUCAGCUUACUUAGCUGCCGGUGGUUUUUGAAUGUACGUAAAAAAUGUGAGUAACCUAUGAUCGUGAAGAAUGUCAGUUUAAAUGAUGCUACAAUUAGCAUUAGCUGCUGCGCUUGGAUCACUGGGAGAACCAACUGUGUGUGUGCGUGUGCGGCACAAACGUGUUUUCUACCAAGUUUCUGAGAACCCACGUGGGAAGUCUUCAUGGCGCAGCUCGCUGAUCAACAGCAGGUUUAAACUGAUCGUUACUGAAAACUGCUUUUCUGGACAACAGUAACCAUCACGGCCUUCACAAGAACUUUAUCG